This 85-nucleotide transfer RNA is filed under the name Felis catus (domestic cat). It matches the Rfam family "tRNA". Rfam says of the family: Transfer RNA (tRNA) molecules are approximately 80 nucleotides in length. Their secondary structure includes four short double-helical elements and three loops (D, anti-codon, and T loops). Further hydrogen bonds mediate the characteristic L-shaped molecular structure. tRNAs have two regions of fundamental functional importance: the anti-codon, which is responsible for specific mRNA codon recognition, and the 3' end, to which the tRNAs corresponding amino acid is attached (by aminoacyl-tRNA synthetases). tRNAs cope with the degeneracy of the genetic code in two manners: having more than one tRNA (with a specific anti-codon) for a particular amino acid; and 'wobble' base-pairing, i.e. permitting non-standard base-pairing at the 3rd anti-codon position. The record is from Rfam by way of RNAcentral. Lineage: Eukaryota; Metazoa; Chordata; Mammalia; Carnivora; Felidae.
ACCUGGGUGGCUCAGUCGGUUGAGCAUCUGACUUUGGUUCAGGUCAUGAUCUGAAGGUCCGAGAGUUCGAGCCCCGCAUCAGGUU